UAUCCACAGUGCUAGUGGAGUCUUGACAUCUCCACACCCUCUGAGAUCAUGGCUCUCCUGGCACCCUCUCUUCAGUGAUGCCAACUCUUAAUGGAGGGAGAUCAAGGAAAUCUCAUUUUAUAGAUAUACAGAUGGACAGCAGACACAAUUUCGGAUGGAGUAAGCAUUUAAGUGAAUAACAUGAAACUACAGAGGAAGCAGAAGACACAGGGGAAGACUGAACCUAAGAUGACACAAAAUUAAGAAGCAGGGUGUAUUUCCUGGAUCUGUAUGUUGCAGGAUCACGGCACAGUGGGGGAUCUGUUGGGGAGCAGGCAGGGUCUCUGGCUGGGCAAGCGGUUUCACGGAGCAACGAGCCUCCACCGAGUGGUCACGGGGGCACUCUGCAGUCUGCCACCCUGGUAGAGUUGUGCCAUGGGAAGCGCAGGUGUGGAGCACCAGUGCCCCUUCCCAGGAAGGGUCCACUGUCUUCCCAUAUACGCAUCCCUCAAGCAGUCCUCAUCUGUGCUGGAUAAGAGAUGUUCCUCUCUUCAUUUGUCUUACAGAUUGCCUGCUGUACAUCUCUGCUCUUUCUCACAUUGGAUGUUGCCAAGUUA
Odocoileus virginianus texanus is the source of this 596-nucleotide long non-coding RNA. RefSeq lists it as uncharacterized. Lineage: Eukaryota; Metazoa; Chordata; Mammalia; Artiodactyla; Cervidae. The record is from RefSeq and is a predicted model, not a curated record.